GACAGAGGGUGCAAACGUUGUUCGGAAUUACUGGGCAUAAAGAGCACGUAGGUGGUGCGCUAAGUCACGUGUGAAAUCCCCCGGCUCAACCGGGGAAUUGCGCGUGAUACUGGCGGACUCGAGGCGGGUAGGGGUGAGCGGAACUCCAGGUGGAGCGGUGAAAUGCGUAGAUAUCGUAAGGAAGACCAGUGGCGAAGGCGAGUCUCUGGACAGCAACUGACGCUGAGGCACGAAGGCCAGGGGAGCAAACGGG
Molecule: ribosomal RNA, 253 nt
Filed under: uncultured bacterium
Lineage: Bacteria
Description: partial 16S ribosomal RNA
Rfam family: Bacterial small subunit ribosomal RNA
Source: RNAcentral